CAUUUUUAAAGGACAAAAACGAACAUCCAACUUUGACUGUAAUACAAUUAAAUCUUUGCAUGUGUGUUUUCAAACUCUCAGAUGGGCAGGAUAUCAGUCUUGGACUGUCUAACCUGCCGGAGCAGCACUGAAUGAUCACCACACAUGAGCAUGUUCCUGCAACAUUCAGCAUCUGAUCUGCCAUCUGUGUGCUUCUGCUUUUGUGUCAAAUGUCAAACAGCUGGAGAGGAAACUACACCAGUGUACUGGGAUGUUUCACCAACACGUGCCAGACGCUGUUCCUUCAUGGUGACAUCACCAGAGACAGUCCCGCCCACCUCAGGACCUCUCCAUUGAUCAUGAUGAUUAUAAUAAUGACAGCGAGCGGAACUAAGACUGUAAAAAUCCAUGACCAGAAUGUUU
This is a long non-coding RNA of Oreochromis aureus, 402 nucleotides long. The record is from Ensembl. Lineage: Eukaryota; Metazoa; Chordata; Actinopteri; Cichliformes; Cichlidae.